RNAcentral lists this transfer RNA (82 nucleotides) under Schizophyllum commune. RNAcentral describes it as "tRNA-Glu". It matches the Rfam family "tRNA". From Rfam's summary of the family: Transfer RNA (tRNA) molecules are approximately 80 nucleotides in length. Their secondary structure includes four short double-helical elements and three loops (D, anti-codon, and T loops). The record is from RNAcentral. Lineage: Eukaryota; Fungi; Basidiomycota; Agaricomycetes; Agaricales; Schizophyllaceae. RNAcentral also lists the same sequence under 2 other names.
UCGGAUAUGGUGUAACGGCCAACAUUGCCGCCUCUCAUCCGAGGGUGCGCGGCAGCUCGGGGUUCGAUUCCCCGUAUCCGAA